Non-coding RNA from Taeniopygia guttata (zebra finch), 1085 nucleotides. The record is from RefSeq and is a predicted model, not a curated record. Lineage: Eukaryota; Metazoa; Chordata; Aves; Passeriformes; Estrildidae.
CAGUCAGAAUGAGUUACUUAGUCAGAUUACUCACUCGUGAGUAAAAAGGAUGUUUUACAAGGAAAGCCCAAGUGGUUUUCUGGUGAAAAGCGGGCCCUCAUUUUGCACUGCAAGCGGCUGUGUCCUACAGCAGGCUGUGCGUGUGUGAGGAGCCAGCUACGGCUCCGCUGAGCCCGAGCCAGCCGCGGGCAGGGCAGGGCAGGGCCGGGCGGCUCUCCCGCUUCCCCGGCAGGCUGCUGCCGCUCUCAGGGCUCUUUAAGCGGGAGGCCCCGCUGUCACACACGGUGCCCGAGCACUGCAGCGCUCCCUGAGCUGGCACAGCCGGGGAGCCCGUCCUGCCCUGCCCGGCCCUUCCCUCCUCCCGCGGGCGGAGCAGCGCCGCGGGAUGCGCGCCCGGCCCCGGCAGCGCCCGCGGGACCGCGCCGGGCACCGAGCAGACUCUUGACAUGGAGGAGAUCAUGGUGGAAACAAUCCUGGCCCCAUGGGAAAUCCUGCUGGUCAUUUUUGCUGCCGUGCUGGUGAUGAGUCUCCUGAUGCUGCUGCCCCCCGCUGCGGUGGUGAUCUGGAGGAUGAGGCGCGCACCCCAAAUCUCACUGCAAGGCUCUGUGUGAGCAGCCCUGCUCCCAGUGCUGCCCUGGCAGGAUGGGCCACACUGAUAACAUCCUCAGCAUCACUCUCACUGCCUGUGGUCCACCCAAAAGCAGUGGGUCUGCUGGUGCUGCCAAGUUCCCGUGGAAAGAGGAUGUUUGUGAUUUGUCACCGUGAGCUGCGCUCUCCGCACUUUGCCUUCCAUGUUUCGUCUGGGCUGUGAUUAAUGUUGUUGGCUCAGUCCCUAGACUGAGUUGUUCUCUUGUGGACUGAAAGAGAAGUAAGGAUAAUGCAGCACUGGAUUCCCUUAAUUAAUAUCAGGAAAGCCUCCCUCUCUAUAGUUACACUGUAAAUACUACUGAAGCCUUUAACUGACUGACACUUAUGCAGGUGGAUUUAUCUAAAGCAUGCAGGAUACUCUGGGGAGGCAGUAGUUUAGUCUGGUUGUAUUGCAAAACCUAAAAAAAAAAUAAAAUUUCAGAGAAUGUUUCAAGAAA